Molecule: ribosomal RNA, 429 nt
Filed under: Acidobacteriota bacterium
Lineage: Bacteria; Pseudomonadati; Acidobacteriota
Description: Acidobacteria bacterium partial 16S ribosomal RNA
Rfam family: Bacterial small subunit ribosomal RNA
Source: RNAcentral
UGGGGAAUUUUGGACAAUGGGGGAAACCCUGAUCCAGCCAUCCCGCGUGUGCGAUGAAGGCCUUCGGGUUGUAAAGCACUUUUGGCAGGAAAGAAACGUCAUGGGUUAAUACCCCGUGAAACUGACGGUACCUGCAGAAUAAGCACCGGCUAACUACGUGCCAGCAGCCGCGGUAAUACGUAGGGUGCAAGCGUUAAUCGGAAUUACUGGGCGUAAAGCGUGCGCAGGCGGUUCGGAAAGAAAGAUGUGAAAUCCCAGAGCUCAACUUUGGAACUGCAUUUUUAACUACCGGGCUAGAGUGUGUCAGAGGGAGGUGGAAUUCCGCGUGUAGCAGUGAAAUGCGUAGAUAUGCAGAGGAACACCGAUGGCGAAGGCAGCCUCCUGGGAUAACACUGACGCUCAUGCACGAAAGCGUGGGGAGCAAACAGG